AUGAAGCCGGAAUUGCUAGUAAUGGCAGGUCAGCAUACUGCCGUGAAUACGUUCCCGGGCCUUGUACACACCGCCCGUCACACCAUGAGAGUUGGGGAUACCCAAAGCCCGUGAGCCAACUUAUAGAGGCAGCGGUCUAAGGUAGAAUCAAUGAUUGGGGUGAAGUCGUAACAAGGUACC
This 180-nucleotide ribosomal RNA is filed under the name uncultured bacterium. Its description in RNAcentral is "partial 16S ribosomal RNA". It matches the Rfam family "Bacterial small subunit ribosomal RNA", at positions 1320 to 1500 of the family's 1533-position model. The record is from RNAcentral.